GGAGUUGUGGCUCAGUGGUAGAGCAUAUGCCUGGCAUGUGUGAGGCCCUGGGUUUGAUCCUCAGCACCA
This 69-nucleotide transfer RNA is filed under the name Ictidomys tridecemlineatus (thirteen-lined ground squirrel). Its description in RNAcentral is "Spermophilus tridecemlineatus (thirteen-lined ground squirrel) tRNA". It matches the Rfam family "tRNA". Rfam says of the family: Transfer RNA (tRNA) molecules are approximately 80 nucleotides in length. The record is from Rfam by way of RNAcentral. Lineage: Eukaryota; Metazoa; Chordata; Mammalia; Rodentia; Sciuridae.